GCAGCACGAGAGAGCUUGCUCUCUUGGUGGCGAGUGGCGGACGGGUGAGUAAUAUAUCGGAACGUGCCCAGUAGCGGGGGAUAACUACUCGAAAGAGUGGCUAAUACCGCAUACGCCCUACGGGGGAAAGGGGGGGAUCGCAAGACCUCUCACUAUUGGAGCGGCCGAUAUCGGAUUAGCUAGUUGGUGGGGUAAAGGCUCACCAAGGCAACGAUCCGUAGCUGGUUUGAGAGGACGACCAGCCACACUGGGACUGAGACACGGCCCAGACUCCUACGGGAGGCAGCAGUGGGGAAUUUUGGACAAUGGGGGAAACCCUGAUCCAGCCAUCCCGCGUGUAUGAUGAAGGCCUUCGGGUUGUAAAGUACUUUUGGCAGAGAAGAAAAGGCAUCCCCUAAUACGGGAUGCUGCUGACGGUAUCUGCAGAAUAAGCACCGGCUAACUACGUGCCAGCAGCCGCGGUAAUACGUAGGGUGCAAGCGUUAAUCGGAAUUACUGGGCGUAAAGCGUGUGUAGGCGGUUCGGAAAGAAAGAUGUGAAAUCCCAGGGCUCAACCUUGGAACUGCAUUUUUAACUGCCGAGCUAGAGUAUGUCAGAGGGGGGUAGAAUUCCACGUGUAGCUGUGAAAUGCGUAGAUAUGUGGAGGAAUACCGAUGGCGAAGGCAGUAGAUACCCUGGUAGUCCACGCCCUAAACGAUGUCAACUAGCUGUUGGGGCCGUUAGGCCUUAGUAGCGCAGCUAACGCGUGAAGUUGACCGCCUGGGGAGUACGGUCGCAAGAUUAAAACUCAAAGGAAUUGACGGGGACCCGCACAAGCGGUGGAUGAUGUGGAUUAAUUCGAUGCAACGCGAAAAACCUUACCUACCCUUGACAUGUCUGGAAUGCCGAAGAGAUUUGGCAGUGCUCGCAAGAGAACCGGAACACAGGUGCUGCAUGGCUGUCGUCAGCUCGUGUCGUGAGAUGUUGGGUUAAGUCCCGCAACGAGCGCAACCCUUGUCAUUAGUUGCUACGCAAGAGCACUCUAAUGAGACUGCCGGUGACAAACCGGAGGAAGGUGGGGAUGACGUCAAGUCCUCAUGGCCCUUAUGGGUAGGGCUUCACACGUCAUACAAUGGUCGGGACAGAGGGUCGCCAACCCGCGAGGGGGAGCCAAUCUCAGAAACCCGAUCGUAGUCCGGAUCGCAGUCUGCAACUCGACUGCGUGAAGUCGGAAUCGCUAGUAAUCGCGGAUCAGAAUGUCGCGGUGAAUACGUUCCCGGGUCUUGUACACACCGCCCGUCACACCAUGGGAGUGGGUUUCACCAGAAGUAGGUAG
This 1315-nucleotide ribosomal RNA is filed under the name Alcaligenes faecalis subsp. faecalis. RNAcentral's name for it is "bacterial SSU rRNA". It matches the Rfam family "Bacterial small subunit ribosomal RNA", at positions 66 to 1433 of the family's 1533-position model. Lineage: Bacteria; Pseudomonadati; Pseudomonadota; Betaproteobacteria; Burkholderiales; Alcaligenaceae. The record is from RNAcentral.